UGUUCUGUAGCUUAGUUGGUUAAAGCGCCGGACUAGCGAUCACGACUCCGUUCGUGGGUUCGAAUCCCACCAAAACAA
Molecule: non-coding RNA, 78 nt
Organism: Aedes albopictus (Asian tiger mosquito)
Lineage: Eukaryota; Metazoa; Arthropoda; Insecta; Diptera; Culicidae
Source: Rfam